This 492-nucleotide ribosomal RNA is filed under the name uncultured bacterium. RNAcentral describes it as "partial 16S ribosomal RNA". It matches the Rfam family "Bacterial small subunit ribosomal RNA", at positions 29 to 507 of the family's 1533-position model. The record is from RNAcentral.
AGUGAACGCUGGCGGUAGGCCUAACACAUGCAAGUCGAACGGAAGCACAGUAAGAGCUUGCUCUUACGGGUGGCGAGUGGCGGACGGGUGAGGGAUACAUCGGAAUCUACUUUUUCGUGGGGGAUAACGUAGGGAAACUUACGCUAAUACCGCAUACGACCUACGGGUGAAAGCAGAGGAUCUUCGGACCUUGCGCGAUUGAAUGAGCCGAUGUCGGAUUAGCUAGUUUGCGGGGUAAAGGCCCACCAAGGCGACGAUCCGUAGCUGGUCUGAGAGGAUGAUCAGCCACACUGGAACUGAGACACGGUCCAGACUCCUACGGGAGGCAGCAGUGGGGAAUAUUGGACAAUGGGCGCAAGCCUGAUCCAGCCAUACCGCGUGGGUGAAGAAGGCCUUCGGGUUGUAAAGCCCUGUUGUUGGGAAAGAAAAGCAGCAGGUUAAUCCCCCGCUGUUCUGACGGUACCCAAAGAAUAAGCACCGGCUAACUUCGUG